This 497-nucleotide ribosomal RNA is filed under the name uncultured bacterium. RNAcentral's name for it is "partial 16S ribosomal RNA". It matches the Rfam family "Bacterial small subunit ribosomal RNA", at positions 28 to 507 of the family's 1533-position model. The record is from RNAcentral.
GAUGAACGCUGGCGGCGUGCCUAAUACAUGCAAGUCGAGCGAACAGACGAGGAGCUUGCUCCUCUGACGUUAGCGGCGGACGGGUGAGUAACACGUGGAUAACCUACCUAUAAGACUGGGAUAACUUCGGGAAACCGGAGCUAAUACCGGAUAAUAUAUUGAACCGCAUGGUUCAAUAGUGAAAGACGGUUUUGCUGUCACUUAUAGAUGGAUCCGCGCCGCAUUAGCUAGUUGGUAAGGUAACGGCUUACCAAGGCGACGAUGCGUAGCCGACCUGAGAGGGUGAUCGGCCACACUGGAACGGAGACACGGUCCAGACUCCUACGGGAGGCAGCAGUAGGGAAUCUUCCGCAAUGGGCGAAAGCCUGACGGAGCAACGCCGCGGGAGUGAGGAAGGUCUUCGGAUCGUAAACCUCUGUGAUUAGGGAAGAACAAAUGUGUAAGUAACUAUGCACGUCUUGACGGUACCUAAUCAGAAAGCCACGGCUAACUACGUG